UACGUAGGGGGCUAGCGUUGUCCGGAAUCAUUGGGCGUAAAGCGCGUGUAGGCGGUCCGGUAAGUCCGCUGUGAAAGUCGGGGGCUCAACCCUCGGAUGCCGGUGGAUACUGUCGGGCUUGAGUACGGAAGAGGCGAGUGGAAUUCCUGGUGUAGCGGUGAAAUGCGCAGAUAUCAGGAGGAACACCAAUUGCGAAGGCAGCUCGCUGGGACGUUACUGACGCUGAAACGCGAAAGCGUGGGGAGCAAACAGG
RNAcentral lists this ribosomal RNA (253 nucleotides) under uncultured bacterium. RNAcentral describes it as "partial 16S ribosomal RNA". It matches the Rfam family "Bacterial small subunit ribosomal RNA", at positions 524 to 776 of the family's 1533-position model. The record is from RNAcentral.